Molecule: long non-coding RNA, 371 nt
Organism: Myotis lucifugus (little brown bat)
Lineage: Eukaryota; Metazoa; Chordata; Mammalia; Chiroptera; Vespertilionidae
Exons: 2
Source: RefSeq, a predicted model, not a curated record
AUCUGGGAAGACCCCCAAGGGGCCCCCCUUGCUCGGUGGCCUCCUCUCUUAGCUUUAGUGAGUUUAAAUGUCCACGCGUGGCCAGGGGCGCCCCGAGGGGCGGUGCCGCCGGGGAGAAGCCCGGGGGGCAGGGCCAGUCCUCCAGUUGCCGCCGCGCUCCCGCCCCGAGCUGUGCAGCUGCGCCGAGGACCAGCUGCGUGAUGAGUGCGUGGAGGCGGCCACCAGCCCCAGGGCUUCCCGAGUGACUCCAGGCCGGAACAUGGAACUUGCGUGUGUCUGGACCCUCGACCCGUCCGGGGAGGCGAUGGAGCGAGCAGGCGGCGACCGGACUACCGAGGUGUUAGGGUGAAUAAACUCCCGCUUUCUCCCUU